GGAGGGGUGUCCGAGCGGUUGAUGGAGACGGUCUUGAAAACCGUUGGGGCCCGAAAGGCCCUCGUGGGUUCGAAUCCCACCCCCUCCG
RNAcentral lists this transfer RNA (88 nucleotides) under Pseudomonadota bacterium. RNAcentral's name for it is "Proteobacteria bacterium (cold seep metagenome) tRNA-Ser". It matches the Rfam family "tRNA". From Rfam's summary of the family: Transfer RNA (tRNA) molecules are approximately 80 nucleotides in length. Their secondary structure includes four short double-helical elements and three loops (D, anti-codon, and T loops). Lineage: Bacteria; Pseudomonadati; Pseudomonadota. The record is from RNAcentral. RNAcentral also lists the same sequence under 1 other name.